Molecule: long non-coding RNA, 1089 nt
Organism: Cyprinus carpio (common carp)
Lineage: Eukaryota; Metazoa; Chordata; Actinopteri; Cypriniformes; Cyprinidae
Source: Ensembl
AUGAAAAAUUCACAGAGACGAGGAGCUGGAAGAAAUCGACAUUUCUCCUGCGACUUUCACUUCGGGGAGAGCAAGAUAUUAGAGGUCAAGGGAACAGCAGGGCCUUUAUGUCAUGCCGGUUGGCCUGAUACCAGAGAGAUUCCAACUAGGAUGGUGGAGAAAACGACACCUGCUCUUAAUUGUAAGUCUUUAAUACAGACAUUUUCGGUUGCCAUAAUUCAUACGAUUGAAAUCAUUUGCGCUCAGUUAAUUUUAGGGCAUUUGCGCCUUCUUCUGCAAUGUGUUACCUUUCCUCUUUCCUCUGGAGUCAUCUCUCCCUGCGGAUCCCAGCCGAGCACAUUAGAGAUCUGAAGAGGACCAGAGGGCCGCAGUAACUCCGACAGGGGUUCGUGCAGCCGGAGAGAGACAUGGAGGACUAAGUGAUCACUUUAUAAAUGAAAGCAGAUGCCUGGAAUUAUGAACUGUCGCUCCGCAGAUGGAGAACGUCGUUGAUGAAGCGCUUCCCGACCCCACUCAUGAUCACUCACUUCUGAAGCUCGCGUGUGUUCCGCCGUCACGCGUGUACCAACACAAUCACGCUUGAGUGAACGGGUUAAACCUGCUCUCAGACACAUGAUUAGGGUCCCGUUCCCCCCGUUCCUUGCGAUGCUUCGUAUUUUGCACCCGAGCAUCACGUUUGAUUGAUCUGGUUGUUGUAGCAUUUGUGAUUGAUGGCGGUUGUUGCACGGCACAAGCCCGCCAGCGCUUCUCCGAAAGCGAGCAAAGAAGGGCCUGUCAGUGUCAUUGAUCUUCUUAUAAAUGAAAUGUUCCGUUUCCCGCUGCAUUUUAUUGUUAAAUGCAGUUCAUUAGCGACGAAGAGAUUUAUCACCGAUGCUCUGUGUCGAGUGAAUCACUGCACUACAACAGAGCAUGCCACGCUGCCUGGUAGGCCGAGCCAACCUGAGGGCAAAACCAUCCAUCUCAUGUGGGAUCUGUCACUGAGAACGAUGCUGACCCAGAAUAUACCAUCUUGUCCUAAGUGUGUGUGAUAUCGCCAUCAAACGGUUCAGAGAUAAUAAACGAGUUGAUCUUCUCUUAAGCUGCGUGUGA